Molecule: transfer RNA, 83 nt
Filed under: Erwinia phage pEa_SNUABM_44
Lineage: Duplodnaviria; Heunggongvirae; Uroviricota; Caudoviricetes
Description: tRNA-Gly
Rfam family: tRNA
About the family: Transfer RNA (tRNA) molecules are approximately 80 nucleotides in length. Their secondary structure includes four short double-helical elements and three loops (D, anti-codon, and T loops).
Source: RNAcentral
GCGGGAUUAGCUCAGUGGUAGAGCACUUGCCUUCCGAGCAAGAGGCGAAUAGGUUCCAUCGGUUCGAAUCCGAUAUUCCGCUC